CCUACGGGAGGCAGCAGUGGGGAAUAUUGGACAAUGGGCGCAAGCCUGAUCCAGCCAUACCGCGUGGGUGAAGAAGGCCUUCGGGUUGUAAAGCCCUUUUGUUGGGAAAGAAAAGCAGUCGAUUAAUACUCGGUUGUUCUGACGGUACCCAAAGAAUAAGCACCGGCUAACUUCGUGCCAGCAGCCGCGGUAAUACGAAGGGUGCAAGCGUUACUCGGAAUUACUGGGCGUAAAGCGUGCGUAGGUGGUUGUUUAAGUCUGUUGUGAAAGCCCUGGGCUCAACCUGGGAAUUGCAGUGGAUACUGGGCGACUAGAGUGUGGUAGAGGGUAGUGGAAUUCCCGGUGUAGCAGUGAAAUGCGUAGAGAUCGGGAGGAACAUCCAUGGCGAAGGCAGCUACCUGGACCAACACUGACACUGAGGCACGAAAGACGUGGGGAGCAAACAGGAUUAGAUACCCUGGUAGUCCACGCCCUAAACCGAUGCGAACUGGAUGUUGGGUGCAAUUUGGCACGCAGUAUCGAAGCUAACGCGUUAAGUUCGCCGCCUGGGGAGUACGGUCGCAAGACUUGAAACUCAAAGGAAUUGAGG
Molecule: ribosomal RNA, 589 nt
Filed under: uncultured bacterium
Lineage: Bacteria
Description: bacterial SSU rRNA
Rfam family: Bacterial small subunit ribosomal RNA
Source: RNAcentral